CGCGCGACAGCAUCGCUACUAUAUCGCUACAAAAAGUCGCCGUGGGCGAGGGCUCUUAUAGGUAGAGAGUUAAAA
Maniola jurtina (meadow brown) is the source of this 75-nucleotide long non-coding RNA. RefSeq lists it as uncharacterized. NCBI's taxonomy places the organism in Eukaryota, Metazoa, Arthropoda, Insecta, Lepidoptera, Nymphalidae. The record is from RefSeq and is a predicted model, not a curated record. The transcript is spliced from 3 exons.